This is a non-coding RNA of Felis catus (domestic cat), 743 nucleotides long. NCBI's taxonomy places the organism in Eukaryota, Metazoa, Chordata, Mammalia, Carnivora, Felidae. The record is from the annotation of a RefSeq genome assembly.
AGGUCCAGAGACAACAGGCUCCCCGGAAAUGGUGACUUCACAGGAAGACCCGCCUCAGACGAGGGGGCUUUGAAGUCUAACUCCCUGGGCUAAUACAGUGAGCAUCCCUCCUGGGCCAUGCCUGUGGGUCUUCUUCAUGCCAUCUCUGCCAUGCACACCAGACUCCUCUGCUGGGUAGUUUUCUGGCUCCUGCGGGCAGGUCCCAUGAAUGCUGGCGUCACCCAGAACCCAGAACACCUGGUCAGAGGGACAGGACAAGAAGCAACGCUGAGAUGCAGCCCAGAGAAAGAACACAAUCACGUUUACUGGUAUCAGCAGCUCCCGGGAGAAGGUCUGAAAUUCAUGGUUUACCUCCAGAAGGAAAAUAUCAUAGAUGACUCCGGAAUGCCGACAAAACGCUUUUCUGCUGAAUUUCCCAAAGAGGGACCCAGCGUCUUAAAGAUCCGGCUGGCAGAGUUGGGAGACUCUGCAGUGUACUUCUGUGCCAGCUCCUUACCCACAUCAAUGCAGAGUCCCAUCCUGUCAAUGCAGGAACACCCUCCAGGCGCCGCCCCAGAAACAGCCACGGGCUGGGGAAGGGAAGGGCACGUGUAGUUGGAUUAAUGAACAUAUUCGCUAGAAAGCAUUUUGCGGGGCGAGCAUGGAAACAGGGGAUGGUGGUGGAAGUAUCACGAGACAUCCCAGCCCAUGCUCAGGAACUAAGACUGUCACCAGAAAAAGGUAAAGAUUUUUAAAACCGGACA